ACUUAGUUGAUCCAUGAUUUAUGUUUCAUCUUUCUUGUUACUUUUAUCUUUGGAUUUAGAUGUUCCCUUUGAUUUUCCUUUUACUUUCUUUACUUGAAAGUUAUUCGCUCUUCUUCUACUUCUCCCUCUUACAAACAUACUCUCUUUCCCAAUGUCUCUUGAUUCCUUUUUAACCUCUAGAUCUCUUGACCUCAAGACAUAUAUUACAAUUGCUUGUGAUAAUUUGUCUCUCGAGUAUUUUAUUGCAUUUCUCACAUCCUUUUAAAAGUCAGGCUGAAAAUUCCAUAAGGUGAUAGUUAAAUCCUUAUCAUCACCAACAACGACCCAAACACAUCCUAUAACACCAAUAUCAGAUUCAUCCCCCAACGCAAUAGAUCUAAGUUUGAAAAAUCAUGGCACGAAUCCCAAGGUCGUCGAAACACCCACUUCUGAUCAGAAUUUGGACAUGGGACCAUCACCAAUGAACUCAGAAGGCCCAAAAACCCCUAGGGUGGUGUCCUCGACGUCCAAUUUGGCCGGAAUUGAAGCAUUGGAAAAAGUACAGCCCGAAACUGAUUUUGAAAUUAAUUCUCGUACGAUGGUCCAACAGAUACACGCGCCAGAUAUUCAGAAUGCCCAUGAGAUGGUGAACCUUCGGUCAAAAAAUCACGGCAAUCGGAGGUCGGACGCUCCUGUUACGGCACCAAACGUAAACGGGCAGUUUGUCGAAAAAUUGCAAUUUUCGGCCUCUACGGUUCUCACCUCGGGAAACGCGCCUGACCGCGUUAUUCAGCAUGAAAUUCCGCACAAGAUUGUUGAAAAUCAUAAAUUUCUGCCUCCGGUUGAUUUUGGCCGGAAAACGGAGCCGCUAGCGGCCGGCCGGCGGCGUCCCGGCGGCCCUCCGGCAACUUUUGAUCAGAAUGUUCUUCCAGUUAAUUUGAAUCCAUUUUCAUCAUCGGUUUUUCCACAUGAGGCCCAGACAGUGCUCAAUCAGGGCCGAAAGACAUAUGC
RNAcentral lists this long non-coding RNA (990 nucleotides) under Olea europaea subsp. europaea. Lineage: Eukaryota; Viridiplantae; Streptophyta; Magnoliopsida; Lamiales; Oleaceae. The record is from RNAcentral.